This is a small nuclear RNA of Heterocephalus glaber (naked mole-rat), 125 nucleotides long. Its record names the gene U4. It matches the Rfam family "U4 spliceosomal RNA". From Rfam's summary of the family: U4 small nuclear RNA (U4 snRNA) is a component of the major U2-dependent spliceosome. The structure of U4 snRNA from yeast and human has been reported. Lineage: Eukaryota; Metazoa; Chordata; Mammalia; Rodentia; Bathyergidae. The record is from Ensembl.
ACCUUUGUGUAGAGGCAGUAUUGUAGCCAAUGAGAUUCAUCGAAGGUGUAAUUAUUGCUAAUUGAAUUGAUCAGUCCAUGUUGUUUUCAUGUAUGGAAAUAUCACAAUAAAACUCAUUAAUAUGU